Pongo abelii (Sumatran orangutan) is the source of this 148-nucleotide unclassified non-coding RNA. It matches the Rfam family "Metazoan signal recognition particle RNA". Rfam says of the family: The signal recognition particle (SRP) is a universally conserved ribonucleoprotein. The record is from Ensembl. NCBI's taxonomy places the organism in Eukaryota, Metazoa, Chordata, Mammalia, Primates, Hominidae.
GCUGGGCAUGGUGGUGCCUGCCUGUAAUCCCAGCUACUCAGGAGGCUGAGGUAGGAGAAUCACUUGAACCUGGGAGGUGGAGGUUGCAGUGAGCCAAGAUUGGGCCACUGCACUCCAGCCUGGGUGACAAAGCGAGACUCUGUCUCAA